CCUACGGGUGGCAGCAGUGAGGAAUAUUGGUCAAUGGACGAGAGUCUGAACCAGCCAAGUAGCGUGAAGGAUGAAUGCCCUAUGGGUUGUAAACUUCUUUUAUAUGGGAAUAAAACGUUCCAUGUGUGGGAUUUUGUCUGUACCAUAUGAAUAAGGAUCGGCUAACUCCGUGCCAGCAGCCGCGGUAAUACGGAGGAUCCGAGCGUUAUCCGGAUUUAUUGGGUUUAAAGGGAGCGUAGGGGGAUUGGUAAGUCAGUUGUGAAAGUUUGCGGCUCAACCGUAAAAUUGCAGUUGAAACGGGCAGUCUUGAGUACAGUAGAGGUGGGCGGAAUUCGUGGUGUAGCGGUGAAAUGCUUAGAUAUCACGAAGAACUCCGAUUGCGAAGGCAGUUCACUGGACUGCAACUGACACUGAGGCUCGAAAGUGUGGGUAUCAAACAGGAUUAGAGACCCCUGUAGUC
RNAcentral lists this ribosomal RNA (460 nucleotides) under uncultured bacterium. RNAcentral's name for it is "partial 16S ribosomal RNA". It matches the Rfam family "Bacterial small subunit ribosomal RNA", at positions 338 to 795 of the family's 1533-position model. The record is from RNAcentral.